AGAAAGAAUAGUGGAACUGCUAAUUCCACACCCCCAUGACUAAUAUUGUGGCUUUCUU
RNAcentral lists this transfer RNA (58 nucleotides) under Proechimys steerei (Steere's spiny-rat). RNAcentral's name for it is "tRNA-Ser". Lineage: Eukaryota; Metazoa; Chordata; Mammalia; Rodentia; Echimyidae. The record is from RNAcentral.